CUUGUUCUUCCCCCAUCUUUCUUGUUUACAACAAAAUAAACAGGUGGUAGCCUAGUAAUAUAGCAACAAAAUUAAUAGUAUAAAAAAGAGAAGAGUUUUCCAUUGGGGAAUCUAAAUAAAUAGAUCUAUUAAUCGGGCUAAAUUUUUAAAAAUAUUAAGAAGUUAUGGCCAAGAAAUUUUCGUGUUCAACAGUAUAGUGUGGUCAUCGGUUUUUCGAAGGAGUCUCGUGAGUGAAGAAAUAUGUGGUGGGAUCUGCUAAUGAUUAAUUUCCAUCAAUCUAGUUUUGUUUUUGGUGGUCGACUGUGUAAUACUUCCAGCGAUGUAAUCCUUCGUUUUUCGGUGAUGGUACGCUGCUUGUUGGUUGUUUUCCAUUUUUUGUGUCUCUGUAAAUCAAUAUUAUCCUUGUG
This 407-nucleotide long non-coding RNA is filed under the name Nicotiana benthamiana. RNAcentral's name for it is "long non-coding RNA (NBEN_LNC030625)". The record is from RNAcentral. Lineage: Eukaryota; Viridiplantae; Streptophyta; Magnoliopsida; Solanales; Solanaceae.